This 520-nucleotide unclassified non-coding RNA is filed under the name uncultured Glomus. Its description in RNAcentral is "SSU rRNA". It matches the Rfam family "Eukaryotic small subunit ribosomal RNA", at positions 569 to 1094 of the family's 1831-position model. Lineage: Eukaryota; Fungi; Glomeromycota; Glomeromycetes; Glomerales; Glomeraceae. The record is from RNAcentral.
AGCAGCCGCGGUAAUUCCAGCUCCAAUAGCGUAUAUUAAAGUUGCUGCAGUUAAAAGCUCGUAGUUGAAUUUCGGGACUAAUAUGUCGGUCGUGCCUCGGUACGUACUGGCUUAUUGGUUUCUCCUUUCUGAAGAACCAUGAUGUCAUUUAUUUGGUGUCGUGGGGAAUCAGGACUGUUACUUUGAAAAAUUAGAGUGUUUAAAGCAGGCUUACGCUUGAAUACAUUAGCAUGGAAUAAUGAAAUAGGACGUUUGAUUCUAUUUUGUUGGUUUCUAGGAUCGACGUAAUGAUUAAUAGGGAUAGUUGGGGGCAUUAGUAUUCAAUUGUCAGAGGUGAAAUUCUUGGAUUUAUUGAAGACUAACUACUGCGAAAGCAUUUGCCAAGGAUGUUUUCAUUAAUCAAGAACGAAAGUUAGGGAUCGAAGACGAUCAGAUACCGUCGUAGUCUUAACCAUAAACUAUGACCGACUAGGGAUCGGAUGAUGUUAAUUUUUAAUGUACUCAUUCGGCGCCUUACGGG